Small nuclear RNA from Gracilinanus agilis (Agile Gracile Mouse Opossum), 149 nucleotides. RefSeq annotates it as U11 spliceosomal RNA. The record is from RefSeq and is a predicted model, not a curated record. The transcript has a single exon. NCBI's taxonomy places the organism in Eukaryota, Metazoa, Chordata, Mammalia, Didelphimorphia, Didelphidae.
AAAAAGGGCUUCUGUCCUGCAUGGCACACGUUGAGCAGGGGGGGGGGGGGUAUUCUCAGCUGUUUUUCGUGCGGAAUCGACAUCAAGAAAUUUUGGAAGCACAAUUUUUGUUACCUGGGAAGCUGGUGAUCAUUGGUCCUGGCACCCUU